GUGACGAAAGCCGAGCGGCUAAGGCACCUGGUUGUGACCCAGGGUUUGGCGGGUUCGACUCCCGUUCGUCACCCCA
RNAcentral lists this transfer RNA (76 nucleotides) under Streptomyces phage WRightOn. Its description in RNAcentral is "tRNA-His". It matches the Rfam family "tRNA". Rfam says of the family: Transfer RNA (tRNA) molecules are approximately 80 nucleotides in length. Their secondary structure includes four short double-helical elements and three loops (D, anti-codon, and T loops). Lineage: Duplodnaviria; Heunggongvirae; Uroviricota; Caudoviricetes. The record is from RNAcentral. RNAcentral also lists the same sequence under 3 other names.